GAUGAACGCUGGCGGCGUGCCUAAUACAUGCCAGUCGAGCGAACGGACGAGAAGCUUGCUUUUCUGAUGUUAGCGGCGGACGGGUGAGUAACACGUGGAUAACCUACUUAUAAGACUGGGAUAACUUCGGGAAACCGGAGCUAAUACCGGAUAAUAUUUUGAACCGCAUGGUUCAAAAGUGAAAGACGGUCUUGCUGUCACUUAUAGCUGGAUCCGCGCUGCAUUAGCUAGUUGGUAAGGUAACGGCUUACCAAGGCAACGAUGCAUAGCCGACCUGAGAGGGUGAUCGGCCACACUGGAGCGGGAACACGGUCCAGACUCCUACGGGAGGCAGCAGAAGGGAAUCUUCCGCAAUGGGCGAAAGCCUGGCGGAGCAACGCCGCGUGAGUGAUGAAGGUCUUCGGAUCGUAAAACUCUGUUAUUAGGGAAGAACAGAUGUGUAAGUAACUGUGCACAUCUUGACGGUACCUAAUCAGAAAGCCACGGCUAACUACGUG
RNAcentral lists this ribosomal RNA (497 nucleotides) under uncultured bacterium. RNAcentral describes it as "partial 16S ribosomal RNA". It matches the Rfam family "Bacterial small subunit ribosomal RNA", at positions 28 to 507 of the family's 1533-position model. The record is from RNAcentral.